CAUCGUAAUGCCAUAUAUCAUGGGAUAUCCCUUUGGCCAGUUUGGGUCAGCUGUCCUGGUUGUGCCCCUCCCAGCUCCUUGUGCACCCUCGGCUCCUUGCUGGCAGGGCAGUGUGAGAAGCUGCAACGUCCUUGGUUCUGUGCAAGCACUGCUCUGUAACAACUAUGUCAUUGGUGUGCUGUCACCACUAUUUUCACCAAAAAAUCCAGUACAAUACAAAAAAAAAUCCAAUACAGUAUUGAUAUAUAGUAUAGGUAUGCUUCAGUUAGGAACAAAGAGGAUACUCAGAGCUGUAUACUAAUUGGGCUAAUUUCAACAUUUCAGAAAGCAGAUUUACUGAAGCAAAUACUUCAACAGCUGAUCUGCACGCACUUGGGAGAUAAGAACAGAUUUUUCUUGUACUGAUAGUGUUCAGCUGAUGUAUUUCUGCCAGUCCUGGCUUGGGCAGAUUGUUGUUAAUCUGAACCAUGAAAGCAUUCAGUAUCUGUGACAACUGGGCUGUUUUCUCUAAGGAGCUGGGAACAUCACUUAAAGCUCAUAGGAAGAUGGAGCUAUUCUUCCUGCUGGGACUGUUCCCAAGGCAGGGCUGCUCUCUGGUUCACUGAAGAAGUACAGUACUCUACAAUUGGAUGUACUCUUCUGGGAGUGCAGGGGUGUUGUUUAUAUUUACCUGCCUGAAGAUCAUCACAGCUGUACUGUUAAUGCACAGUACUAAUUAAAAGCCAGUUUUUCAGCCAUAUUUUUCCAUAUUGAGAUAUACCAUUGAUACAUCAGAGGGUAUGUAAUCAUCUAAUUCUAAAGGUGGAAAUCAGAGUGUGUACUUAGACCUGGUAUGUGGAUAAGAAUCCAGAAUGUCUAAACAUAUGGAUGCCUCGCAUUAGAAUGCUCUUUGUAGCUGCUGAUAAUCAACCAGACUUUCUGGAAUGACAGUCUAUUCAUGUCUCUUAGUCUGGUCAUACUGCUUCAUUAGAAGGCUAGCUACCAGGAUAUAAGACCUCAGAUGAAUCCGAGCUGGCCCUCCUUCUCUUGAUGGUAUCCCUUAUUCACAUCUUUGCUGGUGAGUGGCAUUAUGCAUGCAGUAUGAGGCAUACUGAGGCAGUAGGAAUUCUCUUUUAAUGAUAAGAAGAUACAUGCGUGCAUGAUGAACUUGGCAUCAUUCAAAUAUGAAGGGACUUCUUGGGACAGAGGAGAGUCAUGAAAGAUACUACAAUAACCUUGCAGAUGACCCUUAGGUUUUGGAGGUCAAAAAAACAAGCUGAGGAUCAUCAGCAUUUGGCCUAGGAUGGCAGCAGGAAGCAACUGUCACUGUCAGUAAGCUAAAUCUGGUAUGCUUGGCUGUAUUUCCGAAGACUGCAUAAAACUGUUAUCAGAAGGUUGUGUCAAAAGCUGUAGCAAAGCUGUAACAUUUAGUCCUUUUGCAUCUUCCCUCUCUACAAGGUCUGUUGUUACUCUGAUCACUUGCUAAGAUUUA
This is a long non-coding RNA of Numida meleagris (helmeted guineafowl), 1471 nucleotides long. RefSeq lists it as uncharacterized. Lineage: Eukaryota; Metazoa; Chordata; Aves; Galliformes; Numididae. The record is from RefSeq and is a predicted model, not a curated record. The transcript is spliced from 3 exons.